GGGGAUGUGGUGGAAUUGGCAGACACGUAGCGUUCAGGGCGCUAUGGCCUCACGGCCGUGAGAGUUCAACUCUCUCCAUCCCCA
RNAcentral lists this transfer RNA (84 nucleotides) under Candidatus Portnoybacteria bacterium RBG_19FT_COMBO_36_7. RNAcentral's name for it is "tRNA-Leu". It matches the Rfam family "tRNA". From Rfam's summary of the family: Transfer RNA (tRNA) molecules are approximately 80 nucleotides in length. Their secondary structure includes four short double-helical elements and three loops (D, anti-codon, and T loops). The record is from RNAcentral. Lineage: Bacteria; Candidatus Portnoyibacteriota.